GAUGAACGCUGGCGGCGUGCUUAACACAUGCAAGUCGAACGGUGAAUCAGAUCUUGCCCUGUGGAUCAGUGGCGAACGGUUGAGUAACACCUUAUCAACCUGCCCCUCACUCUGGGAUUAGCGCUGGUAACGGCUUCUCCUACUGGGUAUGAGCUGCGACCGCAUGGUCUGCACUUGGAAUGAUUUUUCUGUUUGGGAUGGGCUCACGGCCUCUCAGCUUGUUGGUGUGGUAAUGUCUCACCAAGGCGUCGCCGGGUAGCCGGCCUGAGAGGGCGAGCGGCCAAACUGGGACUGAGACGAGACCCAGACUCCUACGGGAGGCAGCGGUGGGGAAGAGUGCAUAAUGGGAGAAAGCCUGAUGCAGCAAAGCCGCGUGGGGGAUGACGGCAAGCGGGUUGUAAUCCUAUUUUAGCAGGGAAGAAGAGAAAGUGACGGUACCUGCAGAAGAAGCGCCGGCUAACUACGUG
This 467-nucleotide ribosomal RNA is filed under the name uncultured bacterium. RNAcentral's name for it is "partial 16S ribosomal RNA". It matches the Rfam family "Bacterial small subunit ribosomal RNA", at positions 28 to 507 of the family's 1533-position model. The record is from RNAcentral.